Molecule: long non-coding RNA, 4256 nt
Filed under: Delphinapterus leucas (beluga whale)
Lineage: Eukaryota; Metazoa; Chordata; Mammalia; Artiodactyla; Monodontidae
Description: lncRNA (ENSDLEG00000004109.1)
Source: RNAcentral
GUUCAUAUUUCAAAGUCAUGUGCUUAUAUGCGUGGGGUCAUAUGUAAAUACUUUUUAAGUCACUCCAUGAUCUUAACAUUUGCCUGUGAUGCCUGCAAAACAGUGACACUACAUGUUCCCUCCAAACUAGAUGCUGUAAAAUAUAUUGGUAGAGUUAACCUGAAGGAAUGCUUUAAAUCUGCAAAUCUAAUUCAUUCAAGUGAUCCUGAUUUCCAAAUUUUAGAAGAUGGUUCAGUCUAUACAACAAAUGCCAUUCUUUUGUCCUCAGCGAAGAGAUCUUUUACCGUAUUACUUUCCAACACAGAUACCCAAGAAGAGAAGAAAAUACUUGUCCUUUUAGAGCAACAAACAAAGGUACUGAGGAAAAGGCGUUCUCAAGAAAAAGUUCUAAUACGUGCCAAGAGAAGAUGGGCUCCUAUUCCUUGUUCAGUGUCUGAGAAUUCCUUGGGUCCUUUCCCACUUUUUCUUCAACAGCUAGUUGCCUUUGCAACAACUAAGGAUGGAUAUACUCCAGAAUUUCCACUGCCCCUACUAAUCAGAAUCGAGGAUGAGAAUGAUAACUUCCCAAUUUUUACAGAAACAACUUACAUUUUUAAUGUUUCUGAAAACUGCAGAGUUGGUACUACCGUGGGACAGGUUUGUGCAACUGACAAAGAUGAGCCUGACACACUGCACACGCGUCUAAUGUACUCCAUCAUCGAGCAGUUACCAGCAUCACGCACCCUCUUUUUUAUGCAGCCAGCUACAGGUGUGAUCACCACAACAUCAUCUCAGCUAGACAGAGAGGUAACUGAUAAAUACCAAUUGAAAAUAAAAGUACAAGACAUGGAUGGUCAAUAUUUUGGUUUGCAGACAACUGCAACUUGCAUCAUUAAUAUUGGAGAUGUGAAUGACAACUUGCCAACAUUCAACCGUUUAUCUUAUGAGACAUCAGUGGAGGAAAAUAUAAUUGAUGUGGAAAUCUUACGUGUUGCCGUUACGGAUAAGGAUUUAAUUAAUACUGCUAAUUGGAGAGCUAAUUAUACCAUUUUAAAGGGCAAUGAAAAUGGAAAUUUUAAAAUUGUAACAGAUCCCAAAACCAAUGAAGGAGUUCUGUAUGUGGUUAAGCCACUGAAUUAUGAAGAAAAACAAGAGAUGACCCUACAAAUCAGUGUAGUUAAUGAAGCUCCAAAUUUUGCUAGUUCGAGAUCAACCAUGAGCAUGGCGACAGUCACUGUUAAUGUACAAAAUCAGGAUGAAGGCCCUGAGUGUCGCCCUGCAGUGCAAAUUGUUCGUAUUAAAGAAAAUGCACCAGGGAGCACAAAGGGCAUUGGAUAUAAAGCACAUGACCCGGAAACAAAUAGUAGCAGUGGCAUAAGGUAUAAGAAAUUAAGUGAUCCAGAAGGAUGGGUCAGUGUUGAUGAAAACUCAGGAUCAAUCACAAUUUUAAGAAGCCUGGAUAGAGAGGCAAGGACCAUCAGAAAUGGUAUAUAUAAUAUUACAAUCCUUGCCUCAGACAAAGGUAAGAGAACAUGUACUGGGACACUAGGGAUUAUACUUGAAGACGUGAAUGAUAACGGCCCAUUCAUACCUCAAAAGACGGUGAUAAUCUGUAAAACUGUCAUGUCAUCGGCGGAGAUUGUGGCCGUAGAUCCCGAUGAACCCAUACACGGCCCACCCUUUGACUUCAGUUUGGAAGGUGUUUCUGAUUCAGAAGUACUUAGAAUGUGGAGACUGACAAAAAUUAACGAUACAGCAGCACGUCUUUCCUAUCUGAAUGACCUCCAGUUUGGAGAAUAUACAGUACCUGUCAGAGUUGCAGAUAGGCUUGGCCAAUCACUUGUCACUCAGUUAAAGGUGAUAUUAUGUGACUGUGUUACCCAAAGUGACUGCGACAUUCGCUCAUCUGUGAUUCCCAGAAGACUGAUACUUGGAAAGUGGGCCAUCCUUGCAAUAGUGUUGGGCAUAGCAUUGCUAUUUUGUGUCCUAUUUACCUUAGUCUGUGGGGCUACUGGGGCAGCCAAAAAGCCAAAAGUAUUUCCCGAUGAUUUAGCCCAGCAGAACCUCAUUGUAUCAAACACUGAAGCUCCCGGCGAUGACAAAGUGUAUUCCACCAACGGCUUCACAACCUAUACUAUGGGAGGCUCCACUCAGGGAAUUUGCAGCACCCUGGGAUCCGGAGUGAAAAACGGAGGGCAGGAGACCAUUGAAAUGGUGAAAGGAGGGCAGACCGUUGAGCCCUGCCAGGAGGCCGGGCAUCAUCACACCCUGGGAUUGUGUAAGGGAGGUGGACAGCACACCCUGGAUUCCUGCAGAGGAGGACAAGUAGAGGCAGACAACUGCAGAUACGCAUACUCCGAUUGGUACACCUACACUCAGCCCCGUCUUGGUGAAAAGGUCCAGCUGUGUAAUCAGGAUAACAGUCAUACGCAUGCACAAGACUACGUCCGGACGUAUAACUAUGAAGGAAAAGGAUCGGCGGCUGGUUCUGUGGGUUGUUGCAGUGAACGACAAGAAGAAGAUGGGCUUGAAUUUUUGGAUCAUUUGGAACCCAAAUUUAGGACACUAGCAGAAGCAUGCAUGAAGAGAUGAGUGUGUUCUAUUUAGUCUACAAAAGCCAGUGGCUUUAAUUGUCUCUUUUAAAUUAUUAUUACAAGCCAGGAUUUUUUUAAAAAUAGAAGAUGCUGUUUUGGGGGCUUUUCCCCUUUAUUUUGUUGAGAUCUCUUUAGCCACAUGUGCUUUUACAGAGGGAUGCUGUGAACAACUACACAAAUUUCCUGAUUUUUCCAUAGUUUUUAAAUACUUGUCUUCCACCUAAGGACACCUGCAGAUAGACAAGUUGAGACAGUCUGCAUUAUUGUUUACAUUUGGGUAUAGUGACAGCAGCCAAUUUGUAGUGCAAUAAUAUGUAAUUAACUCAAGUCUAUAUCAUAGACUACUUGGAGUAUAACCGAAUGGAAAAUUGAAGAGGUCUUGCUCUAACAUUAUCUUCAGUUACCUAAAUUAAUUGUUUGUGUGGUGCUUGAAGACUGUUGUUCUCCUAAACAUUCUAAAGUGUAUACACUGCAUUCUUGCUAUUGUUUUAGUCUUGUAACAUGACCUUGCUUCAUAAAGCAAAGGGAGAUUCCCAACUAAGCGUUGACUGUUAUUAUAAUUCCACUUUGGUGGACUUUAGUUUUUGUGUUGUAUUCUCUGUGAAAUCCGGCACUGAAUCUACAUUUCCUCUGUUACCCACCUUCUCCGCAAAAUUUAAAUUAAAAAAAUGCUGAGGAAUGUAUUUUUUACUCCUGCAAGGUUUUGGUCUUUGGUCCCCGCCACUCCCCACCACCCCUUCUGUCUGCCUCUCACCCUCUCUCUUCCCUCUUUCCCCCUCUCCCUCUCUUUUUCCCUCUAUCUCUCUCUUUCUCUUCUUUUUUGUUCUUAAAAUUCCGAUUUGGGUUGGAGAAUCUAAGUAUGUUUAAAAGCCGCCUCUUUUUCCCUCGCUUAUAAAGUGACUUAUUCUGUGUUUCUGUUUUAUGUAAGCACCUGUAUUCUUGGCUUUUCUUAAAAUCAAUGUAAUGUCAAUUUUUUUGUUUCAGCUAUUUUGGUGAUUGCUUCAUUAUCUCCUCAACAAAGACCCUUUACUUUUGCCAUUCAACUGUAGAAGCAUGUCAUGCUUUUAUUUGAUGCAACACUCUAUGUUAACAAAAGGAAUAGUGUAAUUAAAAUUAGUUUAGUAUAAAAUAGUAUAUUUACAGUUCAUUAUUGCAAGGAUACAGUUUAUAAAUGCAAAAUAGUGAUUUUUUUGAAAUAAGCUUUGCAGUACAGGGAUUGUGAAAUCUCUAGGAAUAACUUUUAUAGCUUUUUAGAUCAGGUGGCUAGUUAUAGCUAUGUGUUUGUAAAGUUUUUUUUUUUUUAAUAUUUUGAGAUUACAGUUUUUUAACAAAUGUCGAACUGGUUCAAACUAUUUAAAUUUUGAAAUAAUAAGACAAAAUUAAACUUAAUAGCCAACCAAAUUCCAGGCUACAUUUCACAGCUGAUUUCAGUCAAUGAAUUUUCUAUCCGUACUAACCAUAUGGACAUUUUUAAAGUAUUUCUGAUAUUUAGGAUUGUUAAUAAUAUGCCUAUUUUGAAUUCACAGGAUUGGCUUAUAACAAUUAUUUUUAAAAAUUAACACUGGGUAAUUUAUUCAAUAAUCAGUUUAUCUUUUCAAUAGUUUCAUCACUACUCAGUCAAAAAUACUAUUUCUCAAAGUUAUUUUUAAUAAAUUAUGUAUAAAAUUCUUGUAUAUUACUAGU